This 513-nucleotide ribosomal RNA is filed under the name Glyptothorax lampris. Its description in RNAcentral is "partial 16S ribosomal RNA". It matches the Rfam family "Bacterial large subunit ribosomal RNA", at positions 1852 to 2570 of the family's 2925-position model. Lineage: Eukaryota; Metazoa; Chordata; Actinopteri; Siluriformes; Sisoridae. The record is from RNAcentral.
GUCUUGCCUGCCCAGUGACAAUGUUAAACGGCCGCGGUAUUUUGACCGUGCGAAGGUAGCGCAAUCACUUGUCUUUUAAAUGAAGACCUGUAUGAAUGGUGAAACGAGGGCUUAACUGUCUCCCUUUUCUAGUCAAUGAAAUUGAUCUGCCCGUGCAGAAGCGGACAUAAAAAUACAAGACGAGAAGACCCUUUGGAGCUUAAGAUAUAAAGAUCAUCUAUGUCAAUGGGCCCCAACACGGCAACAAACUAAAUAGCAACUGAUCUUAAUCUUCGGUUGGGGCGACCACGGGAGAAAAUAAAGCUCCCACGCGGACUGGGGUAAACCCUAAAACCAAGAAAAACAUUUCUAAGCAACAGAACUUCUGACCAUUAAGAUCCGGCUACACGCCGACCAACGGACCAAGUUACCCUAGGGAUAACAGCGCAAUCCCCUUUCAGAGUCCAUAUCGACAAGGGGGUUUACGACCUCGAUGUUGGAUCAGGACAUCCUAAUGGUGCAGCCGCUAUAAGG